UCGGGAAUUUUGGGCAAUGGGGGAAACCCUGACCCAGCAACGCCGCGUGAAGGAUGAAGUAUUUCGGUAUGUAAACUUCGAAAGAAUAGGAAGAAUAAAUGACGGUACUAUUUAUAAGGUCCGGCUAACUACGUGCCAGCAGCCGCGGUAAUACGUAGGGACCAAGCGUUGUUCGGAUUUACUGGGCGUAAAGGGCGCGUAGGCGGCAUGACAAGUCACUUGUGAAAUCUCUGGGCUUAACCCAGAACGGCCAAGUGAUACUGUCGCGCUAGAGUGCAGAAGGGGCAAUCGGAAUUCUUGGUGUAGCGGUGAAAUGCGUAGAUAUCAAGAGGAACACCUGAGGUGAAGACGGGUUGCUGGGCUGACACUGACGCUGAGGCACGAAAGCGUGGGGAGCAAACAGGAUUAGAUACCCGCGUAGUCCCUGAGCGGGCUGGCAAGGCGCAU
Molecule: ribosomal RNA, 447 nt
Filed under: uncultured bacterium
Lineage: Bacteria
Description: bacterial SSU rRNA
Rfam family: Bacterial small subunit ribosomal RNA
Source: RNAcentral